Molecule: long non-coding RNA, 2539 nt
Organism: Balaenoptera musculus (blue whale)
Lineage: Eukaryota; Metazoa; Chordata; Mammalia; Artiodactyla; Balaenopteridae
Exons: 3
Source: RefSeq, a predicted model, not a curated record
CCAAGGCUUUCUCCGAGGGCCCUCUUCGGCGUCUCCAGUUUGCGCCGAGGAUCAAAGCAGAACCUGGACCUGAACCAGUUCCCCGAGGUACAGAAUGCCUCCUGAGUCGGGCACUGUUCUAGGGCUGCAGACGUGAAGCCAGGCGAAAGGCUCUGCCCUCCUGAAGCCUGCCUCAAAUUAGUUGUCAAGCAAGUGCCAGGGCAGAAAGCACAAAGAGCGCCCACCUCCUGUCCAAGAGCCGAGGCGAACGACAGGACCCGAUUUCUGUUUGAAGACGGUCAUCACCGUGUACACCCACGUUCAGCAUUCUCAGCCCUGAAGGGGGAAGAAAUGUCCCAUCCCUCGGAAUCUGUGUGGUCUGGUACACGAAUCGACUGUCACCUAGUCUGUGAAGUAUAGUAGCCUAUUUUCAUUUUACAUCCUGCAGAGCUGUUAUCACAUUACUACCUUUUUGAUUGAAAUGUCCACAAUGAAGUACUCUACAAUGGAGUUUCUACAAAUGACGGCUAGAUUAAUUAAUGACAACUCUGUGCAUAACUGUUAAUACAAUCCCCAUUUUAAAGAUGAGAAACUGAGCCCCAGGAAGGCUUUGUAACUUGACCAGAGUCACAUGUUUGUGAGUAGCAAAACCAAGCAGGACCCUGCGGGGCUCCUGGUCUCGGAAGCCUUUCGGUCCCCCAUUUCUUGUUUGUAGGCAGCAGGCGCCAGCGUCCAUGGGCUUCCCAUGGAGGUUCAAACAGCUGCUCAUCAGGGAAGGGAGGGGAUGCAGAGACAAGGGAAGAGCAGUCCGGAAACAGUGGUGCAGCCUUGGGGCAGGGUCCCGGUUCCCCCUCCAGGGGUGCACAGAACAAUGUCUUUGAGUUGUUUACAGAACUAAAACCCCCAUCAAAUGGAAGACGAAGCAUUCUUCAUUCCGGAAGACAGGAAGCACAGAAGCUCAUCAGGAGACCUCCUGAGGCCAGAUGAAAGGAGCACAGGCCCUGCUCACACCCUGAUCCUUAUCGGCAACCCCGCCCUGGAACCAUUGCUACAGAACUCCUCACCAAAUCCUCCCGGUUGGGACACACAGUUUUCAAAGGCAGGAGCCUGCUGUGUCCCCCUUUGCCUGGAAAAGUAAUAAAGCUCUUCUUUUCUACUUCACCCAGCUGUGUCUCUGAGAUUCCAUUCAGCACCGGUGCACAGAGGCGGAGUUUUCUGCAUCAGUAUUGAAGCCAGAAUUGGAAUGCGGGUACUUGGUUCCGGUGCUGGCACUUUAAACCAUCACGUUUUCAUUCCUCCACGAGUGUCUCCAAAAAGACAUCUCAGACUUAUGAAAUGUACAUUUAUUUUAAGCACUUGGUGUUUAUUUUAUGACUCUACACCGUUUUAGUCAUAAAUAUGUAACUUAAAAAUUCUACUGCCAACAACAAACAUACAUCAUUUUGAUUCUGGUCUCACAUCAAAAGGACUGCCCCAAGCCUACAGGAACCAGGCACUCAGUCAAUGAAACCAUCACGGUGUCUUAGACGGAAUACCCUUUCUAGUGGCUAUAGAAAUGUGAAAUGAAUCUCCUGAAACCAUCCAAAGGGAAAAGGGUCUGUUGCCCUGAUUCUUAGCAAGAAGACUUUGCCAUAAAAUCGCCUUUUCUGUGUUCCUGGGUCUGACGACCUGUGAUGAAGGAAAAGCAUGAUUUGUAUUCACAUCAGUUUCUGAAGGACAGAAGUAGGAAAAAGCAAAGGCAGUGAGGUGACUAACUUGUUUCUGGGGAAAGGUGAACGUUCUAAGUAGGAGCCAGAGUUUCUGUGACCGCUAACCUUGAGAUCAUCAUGGACUUGACCAAGACGGCAAUCUGUCGGGAGCUUCGAUGCAUGCAUGCUGCUGGACCCAAGAAGCUACAAGGUAAAUAAAAGGCAUGAUUGCUGCCCUCAGUGAGUUGCCCCUGAUUUGGGGCAUCCAGUCAUCUUCAUGUGUGUGUGUUUCCACCCGUGAUGUGACCUGUCCUCUUGCAUCAUCUACAGUCUGCAGAAAGCCCUGCAGACUGCACUCUGCCCAGUCCACUCUUAAUGUUCCUGAAAGCUGUCCUCAGGUUACCAGCUUCCUCUGUUUAAACACAAAGCUGAUCACAGCCUGAGCCCUGCUCUAAAAGUCUGGGCCUCCCCCUUACCUGCAGGAGAAAAAGAAAUUCUCCUUGGGCGUGAUCUGCUCUUCCUUACCCACCGGGUCUCACACUUCCGAUGCACCACAGCUCCUGUGUUCACACUUGCUGGUCUUUGCUUCUUUUCUUAUGCUCACUCCACAGUUAUAGAUAGCUCAAUCUGGGACUUCUUCUAUUCUGUUUUACAUUUCUUAUCAGCUACUUUUUCCCAGUACUUAACAUACUGCACUUAUCAAAUAAUAAUCGCUAACUCUACCAUGUGCCCGGCACCAUUCUAAAGAUUUCAUGUAUACUCACAUCUUCAUUCUCACUGCAAACAUACAAGAUGGGUGUAUUAUUGUUUAAUUUAUUUUAUUGAAGUAUAGUUGACUUAUACAAUGUUCUGUGAGUUUCUGCUGUACAGCA